Molecule: ribosomal RNA, 200 nt
Filed under: Lacticaseibacillus sp.
Lineage: Bacteria; Bacillati; Bacillota; Bacilli; Lactobacillales; Lactobacillaceae
Description: partial 16S ribosomal RNA
Rfam family: Bacterial small subunit ribosomal RNA
Source: RNAcentral
GGCCCGAGAAGUCAAGCUUAAUCUCAUAAAGCCAUUCUCAGUUCGGACUGUAGGCUGCAAAUCGCCUACAAGAAGUGGGAAUCGCUAGUAAUCGCGGAUCAGCACGCCGCGGUGAAUACGUUCCCGGGCCUUGUACACACCGCCCGUCUCGGACAUGAGAGUUUGUAACACCCGAAGCCGGUGGCGUAACCCUUUAGGAG